GUGCCAGCCGCCGCGGUAAUACAGAGGGUGCGAACGUUGUUCGGAAUUACUGGGCAUAAAGCGCGCGUAGGCGGCGACGUAAGUGUAGGGUGAAAUCCCACGGCUCACCCGUGUGAAUUGCCCCGCAUACUGCGUUGCUCGAGUGUGGUAGGGGAGAGCGGAACUCCUGGUGGAGCGGUGAAAUGCGUAGAUAUCAGGAGGAACACCGGUGGCGAAGGCGGCUCUCUGGUCCACAACUGACGCUGAAGCGCGAAAGCUAGGGUAGCGAACGGGAUUAGAUACCCCCGUAGUCC
Molecule: ribosomal RNA, 293 nt
Filed under: uncultured bacterium
Lineage: Bacteria
Description: partial 16S ribosomal RNA
Rfam family: Bacterial small subunit ribosomal RNA
Source: RNAcentral